Molecule: ribosomal RNA, 253 nt
Filed under: uncultured bacterium
Lineage: Bacteria
Description: partial 16S ribosomal RNA
Rfam family: Bacterial small subunit ribosomal RNA
Source: RNAcentral
UACAGAGGUCCCAAGCGUUGUUCGGAUUCACUGGGCGUAAAGGGUGCGCAGGUGGUCGGGUAAGUCUGAUGUGAAAUCUCCGAGCUCAACUCGGAAAUGGCAUUGGAUACUAUUCGGCUAGAGGGUUGGAGGGGGGACUGGAAUUCUCGGUGUAGCAGUGAAAUGCGUAGAUAUCGAGAGGAACACCAGUGGCGAAGGCGGCGAUCUGGGUCGAUACUGACGCUGAGGUGCGAAAGCGUGGGGAGCAAACAGG